GCUGAAAGCAUGCACAGCCGCUACAGUGAAACUGCAAAUGGCUCAUUAAAUCAGUUAUGGUUCCUUUGAUCGCUCCAUCUGUCACUUGGAUAACUGUGGUAAUUCUAGAGCCGACGAGUGCUAGGGGACAGCUGCUCCGCUUUUGAGCACAGGUAGGUUGUCUGGCACGUUGUUUUGGUGUUUGUUUUUUAACUUUGUAGUUGUGUCUUUCACAAUAUAGAAAUGUAUAUUAAUGCUUCUGUAUAUGAAGCGAUCACAAUAACACUUAUUUUUCACUUUAAAAAAAAAAUCAGGCUAAACAAAAAUUGGUAAUUAAAAAUAUGACAUCUGAA
Pelobates cultripes (western spadefoot toad) is the source of this 332-nucleotide non-coding RNA. Lineage: Eukaryota; Metazoa; Chordata; Amphibia; Anura; Pelobatidae. The record is from the annotation of a GenBank genome assembly.